Molecule: long non-coding RNA, 305 nt
Organism: Pseudopipra pipra
Lineage: Eukaryota; Metazoa; Chordata; Aves; Passeriformes; Pipridae
Exons: 3
Source: RefSeq, a predicted model, not a curated record
AAAGUCUUUUUUUGUCAGUUUGAACUUGGUUAUGCAUUCUGCUGUUGGAAUGUGAAAACUGAAUAAACUGGCAGAGUGAAAGCAACUGAUACAAAGAUUGAGACAUGGGACUGAGAAAAAGAUACCAGAAACCAAGCCACGAAGUCUAUCUUCUAUUUACCAGAUGAAAUUCUCAAGUCAUGAACACUUCACUGGAAUGAAAGAACAGUCUAAGACUUUACCUAUGGCAAUAUGACAAUUACUCUGUGAAAAAGAACCAUGACAACAUGGAGAAUAAUGCAUGAUGCUGGACAAUUGAUGAAGAC